RNAcentral lists this ribosomal RNA (202 nucleotides) under Ditylum brightwellii. Its description in RNAcentral is "partial Bacterial large subunit ribosomal RNA". It matches the Rfam family "Bacterial large subunit ribosomal RNA", at positions 314 to 524 of the family's 2925-position model. The record is from RNAcentral. Lineage: Eukaryota; Bacillariophyta; Thalassiosirophyceae; Lithodesmiales; Lithodesmiaceae.
UAAGUGGCUUUGAGAUCAGCGGAACGCUCUGGAAAGUGCGGCCAUAGUGGGUGAUAGCCCUGUACGCGAAAAUCUCUUAGUCAUGAAAUCGAGUAGGACGGAGCACGAGAAACUUUGUCUGAAUAUGGGGGGACCAUCCUCCAAGGCUAAAUACUACUGACUGACCGAUAGUGAACUAGUACCGCGGCUAGACGAAAAGAAC